RNAcentral lists this long non-coding RNA (5958 nucleotides) under Zostera marina. RNAcentral's name for it is "long non-coding RNA (ZMAR_LNC004525)". The record is from RNAcentral. Lineage: Eukaryota; Viridiplantae; Streptophyta; Magnoliopsida; Alismatales; Zosteraceae.
CUAACUUAGCUAAUUAACUAUUUGUUAUUACAAAUAUUUGCUAAGCUAAUUGGUCUUUGGCCCAACUGUUGUAGCCCAUGCGUGAAUUAGUCCAUUAAGUUUAAUUGGAAACUUUGCAACUUGGACCUUAAGUUUCUUGUUUAUCACCGUGUGGGACUUCAUGAAACUUUUGCACUUUCGCCUUAAGUUUCUUCAGUAUCUCACACACUCGUUUGGGUUAUUUCCUAUACAAUGAUCUUCCAUCUGAAAUGUCAAUUAGGUCCUGCAAACAGAGAUUAUGUUUAUACAAGUUAAUUGCUCUUAGUUAACUUGUAUUUCCUUUACUCCCCCCUCAAGCCUUGGAAUAUAUAUUUAAUAUUCCAAGCUUGGAAUGGAAAGUUGUGAUUUCUUUAUCACCAAGUGCUUUUGUUAGAAAAUCAGCAAGUUGGAACUUAGUUCCAAUUUGUUUUAAUGAGAUUUUCUUUUGAUUUAUCAUUUCUCUUAUGAAAUGACAAUCUACUUCUAUGUGUUUUGUCCUCUCAUGGAAUACUGGAUUAUUCGUUAAAUGUAUAGCUGAUUUGUUAUCACAAUAAAUAUCUGUGGGUAUUGGUAUUUUGAUUUUCAGUUCAUUCAUCAAUUGGUGAAUCCAUACAAUUUCACAAGUCACUUGAGCUAUAGCUCUAUAUUCUGCCUCACAUGAUGAUCUGGCUAUUGUGUUCUGUUUUUUGGUUUUCCAAGAGAUUAAUGAAUCUCCUAGCAUGAUACAGAAUCCUGUCAAGGAUUUUCUACUAAUUUGGCAUGCUGCCCAAUCAGCAUCACAAUACCCUCUAAUCACCAUGUUUGCAUUUCUACUGUAUAAUAAUCCUUGUCCUGGAGCAUUUUUGAUAUAUCUUAUUAGUUUAAACAGGACUUCUAGAUGAACUCUCUUGGCUCAUGCAUAAAUUGACUCAGCCAGUUUACUGAGAAACUUAUAUCUGGCCUUGUUAUGUUGAGGUAUAUUAAUUUUCCAACCAUCUUCCUAUAGAAGGUUGGGUUUUUAAUUAACAUAGAUUUAUCAUUUUUUAAAUCUAUGUGUCUUUCCAUUGGAAUUUUGGAAGGUUUUGCACCAGAAAGACCAGCUUCUUCUAAAAUUCCUAAUGCAUAUUUCCUCUGGGAUAAAUAUAUUCCUUGAGGUGAAUAGGAUACCUCAAUCCCUAGGAAGUAACUUAACCUUCCUAGAUCUUUUAGUUUGAACUGAUUUUCCAAUUGGACUUUUAUUAUCCCAAUUUCUAAUUCAUUGUUGCCUGUUAGGAUGAUAUUAUCCACAUAUACAAUGAGGUAUAGGAUGUUUUGAUUUCUUUCUCUUAUGAAUAAAGAAUAAUCAGAUUUUGUUUGAAGAAAACCAAUGUCUAAAAGAACUCCUCUUAGUUUCUCAAACCAGCUUCUUGAAGCUUGUUUGAGACCAUAUAGAGAUUUAUUUAGUUUACAUACUCUUUUAUCUUUUUCUUCAAGCAUACCUUGUGGAGGUUUUAAAUAUACCUCUUCAUGUAAAUCACCAUGCAAAAAUGCAUUGUUUACAUCUAAUUGGUGUAGAUUCCAUCUUUUAAUGGCAGCUACUGCUAUUAUAGUUUUUAUAGUGACCAUCUUCACUACUGGUGCAAAGGUUUCAAAAAAAUCAAAACCCUCUUUCUGUGUGAAGCCUUUAGCUACUAACCUUGCUUUAUACCUUUCUAUUUGGCCAUCUGGUUUAUAUUUAAUUUUAUAGAUCCAUUUUGAUCCAAUAGAUUUUCUGUUUUGUGGAAGAUUAGUAAGAGUCCAUGUAUUGUUCUCUUGUAAAGCCUUCAUUUCAUUUUGCAUAGCUUCAAUCCAUUUUGGAUCUUUUGAAGCUUCAUUGUAUGAAUUUGGUUCAUCAUUAAUUGUUAUUUGUUUUAAAUAUUGUUUGUGAUGUUUAUUUAUCCUAUUAUAUGAGACAUGAUUGCUCAUAGGAUAUUUUAAUUUAUCACAUUUCUUCUUGUUUUGUAGAAUAAAUUCUUGGAAAUGUUUUGGUUCUACAAUUUUCCUUCCAUACAAACUUGUUUUUUUAUUUGUUGUUUUUAAGUUUUUAUUUUCAGAGUUUAUUGUACUCUGGUCUUGUUCUGAAUUUUUUUUUAAAUUGCUAUCUGAACUGGUCAGAAUGAUUUGUCCAGAGUUGUUAUCUAGCUCUGGGUUUUGAUGUUUUUCUUCUGAGAUUUGCCUUAAGUCAUUUUCUAUAUGAUUUUGUUGGCUAUUUAGCCUAUUUUGUCCAGAGCUAAUUUGUUCCUUUUCUGUAUUUUGAAUUAGAUUCUCUGGCCUUCUUAAAUCUUGUUGAUUUGUUUGCUCUGGGAUAUUCUCUGAAUAAUCUUGCUGAUUAUUCAGAGUGUUUUGUUCAAGGGCUUUUCCUUGUUCUGAAUUUUUACUUCUAUUCUUAGAAGAAUAAUUUUCAGAAAAUUUUCUUGUUACCCCAGGGCAUAGUUCUGAAUGACUUUGUUUAUUGUUUUGAAUUUUAUAUCCAGAGUUUUCUUUUUGCUCUGGGUUUUGUAUUUCUAAUACAUUUUCAUUUGUUCCUGUUUUUUUUUAAAAAACUUCUUCAGUUUGAAUAAUUUUAUUUGGGGUAUUUUUUUCAACAGAGUUAUAUAUGUUCUCUUCAUUAAACUGAUCAUAUUCAUGUGUGUCCAAUGAAUUACUAUUUCUUUUUCCUUGUUUACUGUUAUUUUCACAAUUGGAUGAUCUUCCAAUCUGUGAUGUUUUAUUAUUACAAAAUUCUGUAUUUUCAGAAUAUGGUUUUAUUGUUUCGUUGUGGCCAUCAUGUAUAAUUUGACUAUAAAAGUUUUGUAAUGGUCUUUUGUCUAUAUUUUGAAUAUUUUUAGUUAUAUCUUUAAAUGGAAAGAUGUUUUCCCUAAAGACAACAUUUCUUGAAAUGUGAAAUUUCAUUUUUUCUAUUUCUAAGACUAAAAAACCUUUUGUAUUUGAUGGGUAUCCCAUAAAAAUACCUUUGAAGGUCCUUGGUGAGAACUUAUGUUCUUUAAUGUUCGUGGUUGCAAAGCAUAGGCAGCCAAAGGUUUUAAAAUCUUCAUAGUUUGGAGUUUUUUUAUGUAGAACUUCAAAAGGUGUUUUGUUUUUUAAUACCUUUGAAGGUAUCCUGUUUAUUAUAUGUGCUGCAGUUAGCAUACAUUCUCCCCAAUAUUCUAUUGGGGCUGCACUUUGAAAAUAUAAUACACUUGCCACCUCUAAUAAAUGCCUAUGUUUUCUUUCAACUAUGGCAUUUUGUUGAGGUGUAUAUGGGCAUGAAUAUUGGUGAAUUAUCCCAUAAUUUUCAAGUAAUGACUUGAAUUUAUUUGAGUUAAAUUCCCCUCCAUUAUCACUUCUUAUUAUUUUUAUAUUUUUGUCAAAAAUAUUUUUGAUUUUUAAUAUGAAAUUUCUAAAACAUUCUAAAACCAUGCUUUUGUUUUUGAUCAAGAAAAUCCAAGUUGUUCUACUUAGAUCUUCAACAAUGGUUAGAAAUGAGGAAUAUCCAUCAUGUGUGUUUGUUUGGAAUUUCCCCCAAACAUCCAUAUGAAUUAGAUCAAAUAGAUCCUUUGAUUUUGAUAAACUAUUUUUAUAUUUUAGUUUAUUUUGUUUUGCAAGUGGGCAGAUAUUGCAAUUUUCUUUUAUCAAAUCAAAUUUUUUAUUUAUUGCUGAAAAACUUCUAUUCUGAGAAACAAUAUCAUGUUUGUCUAUUUUAUUACAAUCAAAACUAUUUAUGGAUUUACAAAAAAUAGAUUUGCAUUUUAUUCUAUUGGCUUCAACAAGAAUUUUCAUCUUUUCUGAUGAAGGGUGUCCAAGCCUCUUGUGCCAAAUUUCAAAAUCCAUGGCUGUAUAAGCAUAUUGAGAGGAUUGAGACUCUAAAAAAUAAAGUCCUUUUUUGCACCUACCCUGCCCAAUCACUCUCUCGGAUUUGUUUUCCUGAAAAUGGCAUUUGAAUUUGUCAAAAAUGACCUUUAAAUUUGAAUCAUGAGUUAAUUUAUUUACUGAUAUCAAAUUAACCUUGAAUUAAGGUAUAUAUAAGACAUUCUUAAGUAUAAUGUCUUUGGAUAUUGUUAUAUCUCCAAUAGAAGUUACUUUGCAUACCUCCCCACUUGGAAUGGUGACAAAGUGCUCAUAAUCUUCUAUUGGGUUUUUAUCAAAAAUUUGGAGACUCCCAGUCAUGUGUUGGGAGGCUCCAGUGUCUAUGAUCCAAGAUUUUUCAUAAUUUGAAAUAUUAAAAGAAAAAUCCAUACCUGAGGAUUUGUUCAAAAAAUCCUUUAUCAUUAGAAGCUCUUCACUGGUCAGUCCUUGAUUCACAGAUGAAGUUGUGGCCUGAUUUGCAUUUUCAGUAGAAUUCUUCUUUUCUUUUCUGUUUUUCUUUUUGUCAUUUGGAAAACCUAUUAGGUGGUAGCACUCCUCUCUAGUGUGACCAAAGAACUUGCAGUUGUCACAGUAAAACCUACUGUCCAACUUCUUUCCAUUUUUUCCAUACAUUUUUUUCUUUGGUUCCUCUUUUCUAUCUUCUUUUUCAGAUUUUUUAGCAAAAAGAGCAGUUGAGUUUCCACCCAAUGUUUCCCUAGAGUUGUUUUUGUGCUUCUCUUCUUGUGUUACUAAACAAAAAACCUGAUUCAUAGAAGGAAGCUCGGGGUAUGCAAGUAUUUGACUCCUUAGAGUCCUAAAAUCAUCAUUUAAACUUAAUAAGAAAUGAUGAAUUUUUUCUUUCUCCAAUUUCUUGUUAUAAAUUGGAGUGCAGUUUGUACAAAAAUUACAAUCUGGCUUCUCUAUUUCUAUGAACUGAUCCCAUAAUGAUUUAAAUUUGUCAAAGAAAAUAGCAACAGAAUCAUUAGAUUGGGUUAGGGUGUUUAUCUCAUACCUCAAUUGAUUUGUUUUGGGGGCAUUUUUCUGCUUGUAUCUCUUUUGAAGAUCUGCCCAUGCUUCAUAAGCAUUCUCUGUAUGUAUGAGAGUUGAUCCUAUCUAGGGACUUACACUAUUAAUGAUCCAGGAUAGUACCAGACCAUUGACCAUCUCCCAGUCUUCAUAAUCCUCCCCUGUUUCACAUACCGGCCUCUUAAUUUUUCCAUUGAUAAAACUAGUUUUUUUUCCUGGAAACCAAUGACAAUUUCAUUGAGUUUGCCCAGGCUACGUAGUUCUCUUCCCCAGUGAGUUUAUCUGCCACCAUAUGGGCACCUGGGUGAUCUCCAGAGGUGAGAUAGUAAGGUGAUUUUCUUGAGUACUUCUUACUGUCUUCAUCCUUGUGUUUGGAAAUCGAUUUUUUAUCCUUUGAUUUUUUAAAAGACCUGGAAUCAUGUUUUGAACUGUUAUCAGAAGAUACAUUGUUACCUUGUUUGCUCGAACUCCCUUGACUGGAAUCUUCAUCAGUCGGAUGUCCUUUUUUUGCGGAAGUUGGUGGGUUGUUUGCGUCGUCGCUGACAUGUGAUACCAUGUUAAAUCUCCUGCUCGCUUGGCUGCUACCGGAUUCAAUUGCUCAGGUGAAGGUAGAAAUUGAGUAGAAGUGGAGCAGCGCAAGAUUGGGGCGGAUUCUAGGGUUAUGCGACUUAACUGUCGCCUAGAAGCCGUUGGAGGGAGAUUAGAAUAGUAGUUUCAAUUAAUCACAAUUUGAAUGUAAUUAACUUAAUUAAUUCCAGUCACAAUGGUUUCCUUUUAAACUAAUUACAGCCCUAACUAACUUAACUAAUUAACUAUUUGUUAUUACAAAUAUUAGCUAAGUUAAUUGGUCUUUUAAAAACUAAUUACAACCCUAACUAACUUAGCUAAUUAACUAUUUGUUAUUACAAAUAUUUGCUUGCUAAUUGGUCUUUGGCCCAACUGUUGUAGCCCAUGCGUGAAUUAGUCCAUUAAGUUUAAUUGGAAACUUUGCAACUUGGACCUUAAGUUUCUUGUUUAUCACCGUGUGGGACUUCAUGAAACUUUUGCACUUUCGCCUUAAGUUUCUUCAGUAUCUCACACACUCGUUUGGGU